This is a long non-coding RNA of Zingiber officinale, 1854 nucleotides long. RefSeq lists it as uncharacterized. Lineage: Eukaryota; Viridiplantae; Streptophyta; Magnoliopsida; Zingiberales; Zingiberaceae. The transcript is spliced from 3 exons. The record is from RefSeq and is a predicted model, not a curated record.
AUGAGCUCACACAAGGAUUCCCUUCAACAUUUUAAGCAACCUUGGGCACAUGAUCAUGAACCUGUCAAUAAUCUUGUAGAUGUUAUCAAGGUAUUGCUGCCUCAAGUGCCAUUCUGGUUUCUUGGCAGGUGGUUUCAUGGGCUAAAUGUUUACUAUGCACUUGUAUAUUUUCUCUCUUACUAUGUGUGACUCUUAAGCUAUAUCAUUGUUGAUGAUAAGAAUGCUUUCUCCAACUCAGGUUUACUCUUUUAAAGUGGUUUCUCUAGUGGUCAUGUUUUUAUUUAGUUCUUCUACAAGUAUAUAUUACAACACUAUACUUUAUCUAAUUUUUGCUAUCUGAAGUUUGUACAAAUUCAAGCGGACUUUCUACUAAGGAAGUAGUUGAAGCGAUGGCUAAUUUUAAUGAGAUAGUAUUAGAUCCAAUGCACGAGUUCCCUUGCAUUGAUUUUGGCUCAAUCCAACCCUACCUCUCAAUCAGAAUGUAGUGUAGAAGAGGCAUAUACGUGGAGUAAGGUAAGUUUUCUCUAUCUUUUUGCAGCAAUAGUUGCAUAAUUCAUAUUCACAAUUUACUUUGGUAGUUAAGAAUUUGGCUUUCAUUCACAUGGUGCUAGUGGGAGUCCAUUUGAUCCAAUUGAAUAUGAUGGAAAAGUUCUUGUGCCAGGACAGGUUUAAAAUUUUUAUUUGUUACAAACUAACCUUUGGUGUUUCACUUUCUUCUGGUCAAAUAAUCAUACAUCUUCUCGAGAUUUGGCCUUGGGCUGGUGAUCUUCGGAGCAGCCCGUGUGCACAAUGAUGACAUGCUUACGUUCAGCCUGAAAGUUCACAAGUGCAAUCACCAUUACUAUAUUUCUAUUUUUGUAUAUCAAUAUUUCAAACUUGUUCCAUAUACCAUAAACCCAUCGGGAACAUGUUUAAUCAACUUUGAAAUUUACUUUUCCAUAUGUUCCACAAAACUAUGAAAAGUAGAAUAAUUGUGGUAUCUUUUAUUGGACAACAAAAGCUUUAACUCCUAAUGACGUAGGACAACUUGGACAAAGGAAUGGUCUACCCACCAUUCCCCAACAUUAGGAAGAUAUUUGCUCAUAUUGCUGCGAAUGAUGCAGCAAAAGCAUAUGAACUUAGAUUGGUGAGUCGGUACCCACAUCCCAAGGACUUCAUGAAGUACGCGGAGAGCUUCAUGUACAACUUAUCACCCGUAGAUUGGACAAGAGGGCUUUGCGCAUAUUAACAGUAAGUCAAGUGUUUAAUCAAUACAUUUUCUAAUUAUUUGACCAAUCCCCUUUACAAUGUUAACUUGGAGUUACACUUGUGUUUUUCUUUUUAUUUUCUUUUUCUUUUUCAGAAUCUAUUUAUGAUGGUAAGGUCUUUUGAGUGCUUCCUUCAGUUUGAAGACUUGAUGUUGGUACUUCUGUGUCAAGGGAGACUUAAGUGUUUUUUUAUAAUAUUUUUUAUAAUUUUUUUGACCCACAAUUCACCUUUGGUGUUGUUUUCAUUCUUAAGCUUCCAACAUGGUUCAUCCUUUCAAAUACACUGAGAAUAGAACAUCAGAACAAACGUAUACAUGCAGUAGAAAAAUCAAACCUUCCAUGAACACAAACAAAUAAUAGCCAUGCUUUCAACUAAAUCACAAUUCAAGGAUCAAGAGAAGGCUAAGAAGCUGUAGAGCAUUGUUGCCAUAGUGAUUUUGGCCGGCCAUAACUUGGAGCCCAAGCUUGGUGUGGCCGGCCAUAUAAAAUAAAGGGGAUUUUGUUUUUCAAAUCUUUUCUUAUGUGGAAGUCAUGGUUUUAAAAGAGAGUUUAAAAUUUAAAUCUUUUCCUUUUUUUUUUGGGAAGGUAAAUGUAUUAUACUACUAAA